RNAcentral lists this ribosomal RNA (492 nucleotides) under uncultured bacterium. RNAcentral's name for it is "partial 16S ribosomal RNA". It matches the Rfam family "Bacterial small subunit ribosomal RNA", at positions 29 to 507 of the family's 1533-position model. The record is from RNAcentral.
AGUGAACGCUGGCGGUAGGCCUAACACAUGCAAGUCGAACGGCAGCACAGUAAGAGCUUGCUCUUACGGGUGGCGAGUGGCGGACGGGUGAGGAAUACAUCGGAAUCUACUUUUUCGUGGGGGAUAACGUAGGGAAACUUACGCUAAUACCGCAUACGACCUACGGGUGAAAGCAGGGGAUCUUCGGACCUUGCGCGAUUGAAUGAGCCGAUGUCGGAUUAGCUAGUUGGCGGGGUAAAGGCCCACCAAGGCGACGAUCCGUAGCUGGUCUGAGAGCAUGAUCAGCCACACUGGAACUGAGACACGGUCCAGACUCCUACGGGAGGCAGCAGUGGGGAAUAUUGGACAAUGGGGGCAAGCCUGAUCCAGCCAUACCGCGUGGGUGAAGAAGGCCUUCGGGUUGUAAAGCCCUUUUGUUGGGAAAGAAAAGCAGCAGGUUAAUACCCCGCUGUUCUGACGGUACCCAAAGAAUAAGCACCGGCUAACUUCGUG